CGCGUAGGCGGCGCGGUAAGUCACUUGUGAAAUCUCUGAGCUUAACUCAGAACGGCCAAGUGAUACUGCAGUGCUAGAGUGCAGAAAGGGCAAUCGGAAUUCUUGGUGUAGCGGUGAAAUGCGUAGAUAUCAAGAGGAACACCUGAGGCGAAGGCGGGUUGCUAGGCUGACACUGAGCUGAGGCGACCGAAAGGCCAGGGGAGCAAC
RNAcentral lists this ribosomal RNA (207 nucleotides) under uncultured bacterium. Its description in RNAcentral is "partial 16S ribosomal RNA". It matches the Rfam family "Bacterial small subunit ribosomal RNA", at positions 568 to 772 of the family's 1533-position model. The record is from RNAcentral.